RNAcentral lists this ribosomal RNA (693 nucleotides) under uncultured bacterium. RNAcentral's name for it is "bacterial SSU rRNA". It matches the Rfam family "Bacterial small subunit ribosomal RNA", at positions 83 to 808 of the family's 1533-position model. The record is from RNAcentral.
ACCAUGAGUACAGUGGCGUACGGGUGAGUAACACGUGGGUGAUCUACCUCUUAGUGGGGAAUAACCCUGGGAAACCGGGGCUAAUACCGUAUAAGCUCGAGAGAGGAAAGCAGCAAUGCGCUGAGAGAGGAGCCCGCGGCCGAUUAGCUAGUUGGCAGGGUAAAAGCCUACCAAGGCAAAGAUCGGUAGCCGGCCUGAGAGGGCACACGGCCACACUGGCACUGAAACACGGGCCAGACUCCUACGGGAGGCAGCAGUGGGGAAUCUUGCACAAUGGGGGAAACCCUGAUGCAGCGACGCCGCGUGAGCGAUGAAGCCCUUCGGGGUGUAAAGCUCUUUCGUCAGGGAAGAUGAUGACGGUACCUGGAGAAGCAGCUGCGGCUAACUACGUGCCAGCAGCCGCGGUAAUACGUAGGCAGCAAGCGUUGUUCGGAGUUACUGGGCGUAAAGGGUGUGUAGGCGGUUCUUUAAGUUUGGUGUGAAAUCUCCCGGCUCAACUGGGAGGGUGCGCCGAAUACUGAGGGACUCGAGUGCGGGAGAGGAAAGUGGAAUUCCUGGUGUAGCGGUGAAAUGCGUAGAUAUCAGGAGGAACACCGGUGGUGUAGACGGCUUUCUGGACCGUAACUGACGCUGAGACACGAAAGCGUGGGUAGCAAACAGGAUUAGAUACCCUGGUAGUCCACGCCCUAAACG